RNAcentral lists this ribosomal RNA (253 nucleotides) under uncultured bacterium. Its description in RNAcentral is "partial 16S ribosomal RNA". It matches the Rfam family "Bacterial small subunit ribosomal RNA", at positions 524 to 776 of the family's 1533-position model. The record is from RNAcentral.
UACGUAGGGGGCAAGCGUUGUCCGGAAUUAUUGGGCGUAAAGAGCGCGUAGGCGGUCCGAUAAGUCGGCUGUGAAAGUCAGGGGCUCAACCCUUGAAAGCCGGCCGAUACUGUCGGACUAGAGUCCGGAAGAGGCGAGUGGAAUUCCUGGUGUAGCGGUGAAAUGCGCAGAUAUCAGGAGGAACACCGAUUGCGAAGGCAGCUCGCUGGAACGUUACUGACGCUGAGACGCGAAAGCGUGGGGAGCAAACAGG